This 496-nucleotide ribosomal RNA is filed under the name uncultured bacterium. RNAcentral's name for it is "partial 16S ribosomal RNA". It matches the Rfam family "Bacterial small subunit ribosomal RNA", at positions 28 to 507 of the family's 1533-position model. The record is from RNAcentral.
GACGAACGCUGGCGGCGUGCCUAAUACAUGCAAGUUGAGCGCUGAAGGUUGGUACUUGUACCAACUGGAUGAGCAGCGAACGGGUGAGUAACGCGUGGGGAAUCUGCCUUUGAGCGGGGGACAACAUUUGGAAACGAAUGCUAAUACCGCAUAAAAACUUUAAACACAAGUUUUAAGUUUGAAAGAUGCAAUUGCAUCACUCAAAGAUGAUCCCGCGUUGUAUUAGCUAGUUGGUGAGGUAAAGGCUCACCAAGGCGAUGAUACAUAGCCGACCUGAGAGGGUAGCGGCCACAUUGGGACUGAGACACGGCCCAAACUCCUACGGGAGGCAGCAGUAGGGAAUCUUCGGCAAUGGACGAAAGUCUGACCGAGCAACGCCGCGUGAGUGAAGAAGGGUUUCGGAUCGUAAAACUCUGUUGGUAGAGAAGAACGUUGGUGAGAGUGGAAAGCUCAUCAAGUGACGGUAACUACCCAGAAAGGGACGGCUAACUACGUG